GUGCCAGCAGCCGCGGUAAUACGGAGGGAGCAAGCGUUACUCGGAAUUAUUGGGCGUAAAGGGCGCGUAGGCGAUUUGACUAGUCUUGUGUGAAAGCCCAGGGCCUAACCCUGGAAGUGCACAAGAAACUGUUGAAUUUGAGUUCCGGAGAGGAAGGCAGAAUUCCCGGUGUAGCGGUGAAAUGCGUAGAUAUCGGGAGGAAUACCAGUGGCGAAGGCGGCCUUCUGGACGGAUACUGACGCUGAGGCGCGAAAGCCAGGGGAGCAAACGGGAUUAGAAACCCUCGUAGUCC
RNAcentral lists this ribosomal RNA (292 nucleotides) under uncultured bacterium. RNAcentral describes it as "partial 16S ribosomal RNA". It matches the Rfam family "Bacterial small subunit ribosomal RNA", at positions 505 to 796 of the family's 1533-position model. The record is from RNAcentral.